RNAcentral lists this ribosomal RNA (1400 nucleotides) under uncultured bacterium. RNAcentral's name for it is "partial 16S ribosomal RNA". It matches the Rfam family "Bacterial small subunit ribosomal RNA". The record is from RNAcentral.
UUAGAGUUUGAUCCUGGCUCAGGAUGAACGCUAGCGGCAGGCUUAACACAUGCAAGUCGAGGGGCAGCGAGGGUAAUAGCAAUAUUACCUGUCGGCGACCGGCGCACGGGUGCGUAACGCGUAUGCAACCUACCAUCAACAGGGGGAUAACACUGAGAAAUUGGUACUAAUACCCCAUAAUAUCUCAUGCGGCAUCGCAUGGGGUUGAAAACUCCGGUGGUUGAUGAUGGGCAUGCGUUGGAUUAGCUGGUUGGUGAGGUAACGGCUCACCAAGGCGACGAUACAUAGGGGGACUGAGAGGUUAACCCCCCACAUUGGUACUGAGACACGGACCAAACUCCUACGGGAGGCAGCAGUGAGGAAUAUUGGUCAAUGGACGCAAGUCUGAACCAGCCAUGCCGCGUGCAGGAUGACGGCUCUAUGAGUUGUAAACUGCUUUUGUACGAGGGUAAACCCCGAUACGUGUAUUGGGUUGAAAGUAUCGUACGAAUAAGGAUCGGCUAACUCCGUGCCAGCAGCCGCGGUAAUACGGAGGAUCCGAGCGUUAUCCGGAUUUAUUGGGUUUAAAGGGUGCGUAGGCGGUUUGAUAAGUUAGAGGUGAAAUGUCGGGGCUCAACCCCGAAACUGCCUCUAAUACUGUUGGACUAGAGAAUAGUUGCGGUAGGCGGAAUGUAUGGUGUAGCGGUGAAAUGCUUAGAGAUCAUACAGAACACCGAUUGCGAAGGCAGCUUACCAAACUAUAUCUGACGUUGAGGCACGAAAGCGUGGGUAGCAAACAGGAUUAGAUACCCUGGUAGUCCACGCAGUAAGCGAUGAUAACUCGUUGUCGGCGAUACACAGUCGGUGACUAAGCGAAAGCGAUAAGUUAUCCACCUGGGGAGUACGUUCGCAAGAAUGAAACUCAAAGGAAUUGACGGGGGCCCGCACAAGCGGAGGAACAUGUGGUUUAAUUCGAUGAUACGCGAGGAACCUUACCCGGGCUUGAAAGUUAGCGACGACGCUUGAAAGAGCGUUUCCCUUCGGGGCGCGAAACUAGGUGCUGCAUGGUUGUCGUCAGCUCGUGCCGUGAGGUGUCGGGUUAAGUCCCAUAACGAGCGCAACCCCUACUGUUAGUUGCCAUCAGGUGAUGCUGGGCACUCUAGCGGGACUGCCGGUGUAAGCCGAGAGGAAGGUGGGGAUGACGUCAAAUCAGCACGGCCCUUACGUCCGGGGCCACACACGUGUUACAAUGGUAGGUACAGAGGGCAGCUACCCUGCGAAGGGGUGCGAAUCUCGAAAGCCUAUCUCAGUUCGGAUUGGAGGCUGAAACCCGCCUCCAUGAAGUUGGAUUCGCUAGUAAUCGCGCAUCAGCCAUGGCGCGGUGAAUACGUUCCCGGGCCUUGCACACACCGCCCGUCAAG